Molecule: non-coding RNA, 242 nt
Organism: Pelobates cultripes (western spadefoot toad)
Lineage: Eukaryota; Metazoa; Chordata; Amphibia; Anura; Pelobatidae
Source: the annotation of a GenBank genome assembly
GGUGACUAGUGACAGAGAGCGGGAGGGGGUGACUAGUGACAGAGAGAGAGAGGGGGUGACUAGUGACAGAGGGAGGGAGGUUGUGAUUAGUGACAGAGGGAGGGAUGAGGUGACUAGUGACAGUCACCACCUCCUUCACUCUGUCACUAGUCACCCCCUCCCUCACUCUGUCAUUGUGUCACCCCCUUCCUCACUUUGUCACUAGUCACCCACUCCCUCCCUCACUCUGUCACUAGUCAUCC